Molecule: ribosomal RNA, 161 nt
Filed under: Quercus petraea (sessile oak)
Lineage: Eukaryota; Viridiplantae; Streptophyta; Magnoliopsida; Fagales; Fagaceae
Description: 5.8S ribosomal RNA
Rfam family: 5.8S ribosomal RNA
About the family: 5.8S ribosomal RNA (5.8S rRNA) is a component of the large subunit of the eukaryotic ribosome.
Source: RNAcentral
AACGACUCUCGGCAACGGAUAUCUAGGCUCUCACAUGAUGAAGAACGUAGUGAAAUGCAAUACUUGGUGUGAAUUGCAGAAUCCCGUGAAUCAUCAAGUUUUUGAACGCAAGUUGCGCCCGAAGCCAUUCGGCAGAGGGCACGUUUGCCUGGGUGUCACGC